GGGAAACCAAAAGAAAAACCAUGAGAGCUUAUGCUCAAAGUGGACAAUAUCAUGUCAUUGUGGAGGUUCGUGGUUUCUAAUAGAAAUUAGUGUAUCACACUGCACGUUCAAUGAUCCUGUGAACUCUUUUGAUACUGAAACCUUUUAGAAAACCAGUCUCAAAGGCGCAUGAGAGCAAUCUACGUAGGCGGUAAGCUACAUCAAUCUCUAAGUUCAAUCACAUAUUGUCUUUGUUUAGAUAGAAUAGAUGGAGGUUACGAUGACACUAUGCCUCUCAUUGUUCAAAGAUGUGACUGGUAGAUAUACAUGAAAAGUUGUUAAAAGAGUGUUUAGACUAUUAUAAUGUGACAAUUUUUAUUUUGAGCACUAUUGAUAAUUGAAUGCAUAUUGAACUGGAAAGUUUUUAGUUGAGUUCUCUCUACCCUACUGCUAACUCCAAGUUGCGUUAUAAUCAGCAGGACAUCUGAUAUCUAGUUGCACUUGGUGACACAUACAUAAGAUAUGAAUGAGGUUUUCAACUGAAUUUGCGUAUGAAAGCUUUUGAGAUCUUAUCACAGCUUCAUUUUUUGGCUGAUAACCUCUUAGCCUCUCUCUACUGUGGCAAGUUGGUCUCUUGAACCUUCCUCAAAUGAAAGGAUGAGUACCAGGAAUUAUUCAAAUGCACUUCCAAAAAGAGGUUGCGGGGUUUAACCCGAAUCAUUGGUCAGUUAAAUCCCUUCAAAUUUGGUUUAGAAAGAAGCUUCGAUAAUGGAUUUGCUGCUUUCAUUUGGAAAUGAAAAGCUUGAAAAAGAAUGUAGUUUUUUCCCAUGACAGUGGCCCCAUGGAGGGUUAAUACUAUGGAUUAGAUUCUGAAGA
Molecule: long non-coding RNA, 855 nt
Organism: Cucurbita pepo subsp. pepo (vegetable marrow)
Lineage: Eukaryota; Viridiplantae; Streptophyta; Magnoliopsida; Cucurbitales; Cucurbitaceae
Source: RefSeq, a predicted model, not a curated record